CACCUUUUCCCUUUUAUCACACCCUGAAAAGAAUUAAUUGAUGAGUAAUGCGCUCGCAUGGAUGCGAGCCAAGCCAUGCUUGUACAUGGAUGUACCUUCAUGGCGUGUACGUUCAUAUCAAUUUAUUCUUUGAAGGAUCUGGUGUGAUGAAGGGCGCCGUGG
Pseudoalteromonas phenolica is the source of this 162-nucleotide regulatory RNA element. The record is from Rfam. Lineage: Bacteria; Pseudomonadati; Pseudomonadota; Gammaproteobacteria; Alteromonadales; Pseudoalteromonadaceae.